AAGAAAUGCAGUGAAACAGUUUUUCUGGUGCUGCUUCCAGCUCUCAAACAGGGACUUUCUCUCCUGAAGUGGUCCCCCCACCUCAAUAGUUUGCAGAGAAUAGGAGAUUGUAUGUAAUGGGAUUCAGUCAAAGAAGUUCUCUAGUCCACUCUCGACUAUAUUUAGAAAAAAAAAAGUUCGUCGUCAGCAUAGGUCCUGUCCAUGUCUGUGUCCUCAAUAAAUUAGCAAUUUUCAGAAAACUAUGCCUAUGAGAAUGGGAAGAAAUAGACCAAGAAGCAGGGAGACUUAGAUUGUGCUUACACCACAUAAUUUUGUAAAGUAUGCCUAGACAAGCACAUUCCCACCCACUCACCAUUAAAAAUUAACAAUAAAAAGGAAAAGUGGUAGAAUCUGAGGCACAUUUUGGUUCACUAAUCUAAAUAAUAAGCACCUUAAUCUUUCUCCUUAUCCUUCACUUUCUUUCUUUCUUUUUUUUUUUUUUUUUUUUCCUCUUUACCAUUCCUUUGUUGUUAAGUGGUAGCAAUUGGUGGUAUAGUUUAUCUAAGAUGGUCACACAAUUACUCAACCUGUCUAUUCUCUACAAAGAAAGUGAAAGUAUUGCCUGUUUCUAAACAAAGAAGAGCUAAAUGUCUUUGGUUUGAAUUGGACAAGAUGAUGCCAAUAUUUCCAUCUCCAGACUCUGUCUUUACAGAUUUUAGACUUGAGUUAUCUGUUAGAAGUCAUGAAGCAACACAGCAGGUCUAAGGACUGUGAUUAGGAAAAGGCAUGACCUGGUGGAAGCAACACUGGCCACUCAAUUCACUGAACUUGUACCUAAAUCUUAGCCUAGGCAUUUAUGAGCCAUAUGAUAUGAGACAAUUUUUUAACCUUUCUACGUCUCAAUAGGAGCCAUAGAAUUGAUGUAAGGGUUGGAGAUAAGGUAGGAAAUCAUGUGGCAUAAUAGAUGCUGUAUUAUUCACCUGUAUCAUUAUGUUAGGCAUACCUCUCUUACUUAUAGAUAAAGUAAAAAUCAAAGUUGCUCUAAAGAAAAGCAAUGUAAAACCAAAUCUAAACUGUUGUGGAUACAAGGUAAUAACCAUGGUUAUGUAUCUGAUGCUCAGUUUUGUUUUUAAUAGGAUGACAGAAAACAUUACAUUUGAGUGACUGUAUCUCAAAUGUUAGACAUCAAAGCUAGAUCAGAGUUUCUCUAAGUGUGGAUUGAGAUCCAUUUACAUAAGAAUCUUUUGAGAACCUUGCUAAAAUGCAGAUCUCUAGACCUAUCUGAGACUUGCUGGAGAGUAAGUCAUGUGAUUUCUAUGCCCAUGAUAGUUUAAAAACCACCAAUUUUGUGAUGCCAAUUGUAAAAAAUGUUUCGAACCCCAGUUAAUUAGUGCAUUAUUUCAAAGAUAAUCCAAUUUUGUCUAAUAGAGUAUCAUAAUGUACUGUUACUGAUGCUGGUACUAUAGUUACAUUACUUACAUUAUGAUAUAAUGUAACAUUUCAUUUCUGAUAUAACUCAUUGGAAGGUAAGUCAUAGAAUAAAGUUCUACUUUCAACUUGGUGCCUAAGCCAGUUCUACUGCUCACCAGCUAUGAGUUUUGGGGAAAGACCUUUAACCUCUUAUUAAGUUCUAGUUUUCUAUUUAUCUCACAGUUCCUUCCUCAUAGGAUUGUUAAAAGGAUUGAAUGAAGUAACACAUCAGAUAAGCCUUAGGCUGUAAAAGUUUUGUGUUAUUAUCAAAAGAAUGAAUACUUCAUGAAAAUUAUGUUAACUCAGAAAGAUUCUUUGGUGGAGAUUCGAUUAGCAUCUUUGCAAUUUUUUUUUUUAACUUGUGAGGAAAGGCAAUCUGGAUGGUUUUCUUUUCCUACUACUUUUGGACUGAAGGAUGUAUUUAUCCAAGUGCUGGGAAUGCGGGCAGCAGAGAACCCUUAGCCAUCUGCCUCUAUAGGGAGUGCCUUGGCCAAGAUGACUUUCUUUUUCCAGAAAGGCCCACUUUCAAUGAUGGAUCAUUGUGGGAGUACAUAGGCCCAGGCCCCUUAGCAGACUUAGGACAACACUGAAGGGCCACACCAUCUCCAGAACUUCCUGUUGAUUCUGAGGUCUUGAUUGAGAUAGUCUCACAGGUUCCCUUAUCCCUCUCCCCAGUUCUGCUGCCUUUUAUUCCCUCCUCCAGAGAGUGCUCUCAGGAACCAUUUAUAACAUACUUCUGCGUGAAUGUCUCUGCUCUCCAGGGAGCCUGACCUGAGAUAGGUAGGCUUAUGAAAACAGCAGUUCCAAAGUGCUAUACACAUUUAAGGUACCUAAUCAUUAUAACACCACAUUAAUAAUCGAAUAGUCCUUAGCAUGUACUUAUAUUAAUCCCCUAAUGCUUUUAGUUAUGACACUAUAACAGGAAGCAUAUAAAAAAAAAAAUCCAGCUGUGGCACAGCAGAAACAAAACUAACUAGUAAUAAUGAGAUUGCAGGUUCAAUCCCUGGCCUCACUCAGUGGGUGAAGGAUCUGGUGUUGCCAUGAGCUGUGGUGUAGGUUGCAGAGGUGGCUCAGAUCCUGUGUGGAUGGGGUAUAGGCUGGCAGCUGUAGCUCCAAUUCUAUCCCUAGCCCUAACCCUCCAUAUGCUGCGGGUGUGGCCCUAAAAAGCAAAACAAUAAAUAAAUAAAUAAAUUUUUAAAAUAAAAUGGGUACUAUCUACCUCUCAAGCUAUCGUGAGUUCUAAUGUAUUGAUGAAUAUACAUGUUACUUAUCCAGCUUUGAAGAAAUGAACUGAGCUAUAAAAAGGGCCACCGCUUUGACUGUAAAGUUAUUCCUUGUUGAAAAUGCCAAAUUCAAGGGUGAAGAGGACUGAAAGCCACCCUGAGGGCUCUAACAGAGGGAUGUCUAUGAAGGGGAAGGGACUCAUUUUAUAACUAGUCUAUCCAAAGGAAUAUAUUUUUGCAAGGUACAUCUUCAUCCAUGACCUCAAAUUCAGUAGAAAGAGCAGCCAAAUGAGUCAUAUUUUUAAAUAUCUGGGGGCCUAGAUUCACCAAGCAAUCACAUGUAAUCAUAUACUCUAUGGGAUAAGUAAUCAUAUACUCUAUAGGACAGAAAUAUCAAUUUAUUUUAUAAAUGAAGAACUGAAAGGCUCAUGGAUUUGCCCAAAUUCUCAUAGCUUCUUAGUAGCAGAGAUGGGACUAAAACCUACAUUUUUUGGUUUUCAAUUUCAGUGUUUUAAAAUUGCAUAUUGAUACAGAUAUAGUUAUGACUAUGCGUAUUUCUAAAUCUGAGAAGAUUAUAUUUCAAUAUGUAAGAGACGUUUGUUUAAUAAAUAUUUACAAAUUCCUUCCUAUGGACAAAGCCCUGGAAGAUGAUGAGAGUAGAGAAAAAAGGCACAAUUUCUGUUGUUCAGGAACUCCUGAACUGAAGGAAGAGGGAGAUAAGGAAACCACACUUACACCUUGUCUGGUAAGAACUGCGAUAAAGUGUGUAAGGACAAUCAAAGAAAAUGCUUAUCAGCUUGAGUUCAUCCAGGAAAUAGUGAUAUGCUUCUGGUUUGAAGAAUGAAAUGGUGAAAGCUACAUGGACAAAGACUUGAAUUAGCAAAACUGCAAAUAAUUCGGCAUAAGUAAGGAGUGCAUAGAUAUGGUUAAAAUGGCGGGAGGCCAGGCUGAAGAUUUGAUCAGGUACUAAAGCUCUAAAAACAAUGUAGUUUGUACUUUAUCUUGAAGACAGCACCUGCCAAUGAAGGAAUAUUAGCAAGAUGGUAUUUGAGUUUUAGAAAGAUCGCUAUGAACAAUGGACCUGGAUCAGAGACACUGAAGUUCAAAAGACCAAGUAAGAAAAUUGAAGCAAAAAUCUAGAUGACCUGUUCAUUUAUAUUGACACUGAUUUCUCCUUCCCAUGAGGAUGAAUUAAUUUUAAUUUUGAAGCAAUGGCGUAGAGAAAAUUUUACUUUGAAAAGAAGAAAUGACUAUGACAAAUGUUUAGUUUCAGUAGCCUUCAAGACCACACCUAUGGAACAUGAGAUCACAGAAGUCUUAGAAAUGAAGACAAAUGCAUAAUUUUUUCUCUGAAAUGUUACAUACACACACACACACACACACACACACACACACACGCCAUGCAAUGGCAUUUCCUUACCUGUGAGGUAUAGAAUAUAAACACAGUAGAGAUCUGUCUUCUCCCUUUCUGUGCAGCUCUCCAUCAACUAUCAGAGGUGUAUCAUGCUCAGGAUCCACUUUUCUCAUACUGUAUUUCACCUGAACAUUCGUGGUGUGAGCAUCUCUAUGACACAAGAACAAAAUAGGAAAAGAUUCAGUAGCAUUUAUCAAGCACUUCAAGCUUUCCACUACUAGGCAAUUUAAUACAUUUUAUUUCAGUGAAUCCUUUCAAAAGUUCAUAUAACAUAAUGAAAAAACUGGGACUCAGCAUGAUACCAUUUGCCCAAGAAAAGAGACCCAUUCCACGCAAAACUGAACCGGUCCCAACAUGCAGGUCCACAGGAUGUCUUAAGACUUAUACCUGAGUAGAUAUCAUCCCUGGAGUUACAUAAUUUCCUGUCAAGUGAACAUAGACUGUCCAAUCAGAAGAACCUGUAAUGUGCCUCAAUAUGAUCAGCAAGAGCAAUUUGCCUUCUUUCGAGAUCAGCAUAAGGAUGUGAAGCGUACAGGUUCUGAAGUUAGACAUACCCGGGAUCAGAUCUCAGGUUUGAAACUUGCUUCCUGGGUGACCUUAGGCAAAUUACAUAAUCUUUCUAAGCCUCAACUUUCUCAUCUAUAAACUGGCAUGAUCAUAGUGAGCUCCUUACGAGGGACUAUUUGGAGGAGUUAAUGUGUGAGGGACCUAAAACACUAAGGAAACUAUCUGAUACAUGGUAACUGCUUAUGUACGUGACCUAAUACGUGUUACCUUUUUAAUGACUUUCCAUUUUACUGAUUCUGCCAUAAAAGAAUCAGCUCAUUUGGGGUGUGAAUUUACAUCAUUAAUGGGAUUUUCCACAGUUAGCUGAAAUUUUUAUGUCUGUGAGAAAAAUCACUUGGAAGUAACAAACUUUGUCUCCAAUGUCUUUUCUCUCCUUUCCAAUCGCUCCUGUUUCUGUAGGGAGGAACUGAUGGGCUUUUUGCUGCUCAAUUUAUUUGGACGCCAUAAUCCUUUUUUAUUGCUUUGCUUUGCUCAAUAAACCUGAGGGAUUUUGUUCACAUUUCCACUACAGAGUGUGUGGUGCUCCGACGAUGGAAAAUAAGACCUGAGUUAGAAUGUAACAGGGCCAUAGCUGUAGAGACACCCUUUAAUCUUCCUAGGCCUCAGUUUCCUCUUAGGUUAAAAUGAGUUCUAGCCUACAUAUCUCACCACUAUUAUGAGGACCAAAAGAUAGAGUAGCAGUCGUGGAGUACCUUAUAAAGCUUAAAGUUCUGUAAAAAUGAAAUCUACUUUAAUUAUUUUAUUGCUGUUAUAUAAUAAGGAAGAAACUAUAGAUAAAAUGAUCACCCAACUGUUCUAAUAGUUUGCUCCUGUGGAAUGGAAUUACUUAAAGAGCAUGUUUAGUUUGAAAGUAACAUUCCUUUAGAAAGAGCAAGAGAAUGGUUUAUUUAAAAUCUGUGGCUGUUUUGUUAAACUUCAUUGGAAAGAGAAAGAAGCAGAGGGUUGGCAGUGAUGAAUAUUGGGGACAUUAAUGAGGAAAAAUCCACACCCACCUGCUUUGGUUAAGCUUGUACAUAUUUAAUUAUAGAAUCUGAAGAAGGAGCAUCAGUAUUGAGGUGAGGAUGUGUUUUAAGAGACCAA
RNAcentral lists this long non-coding RNA (5733 nucleotides) under Sus scrofa (pig). RNAcentral's name for it is "lncRNA (ENSSSCG00060077924.1)". The record is from RNAcentral. Lineage: Eukaryota; Metazoa; Chordata; Mammalia; Artiodactyla; Suidae.